Sinocyclocheilus anshuiensis is the source of this 535-nucleotide long non-coding RNA. RefSeq lists it as uncharacterized. The transcript has 4 exons. NCBI's taxonomy places the organism in Eukaryota, Metazoa, Chordata, Actinopteri, Cypriniformes, Cyprinidae. The record is from RefSeq and is a predicted model, not a curated record.
CUGUCUUCUCUGAACAGCAGUCUUGUGAACACCGGCCUCAGUACACUGAAGAUCUAAGAAAACACUUCACACCCUACAACCCCUAAAAAUAACCCAGAUUUGACAGCAGUGCACACCCAUCUGAGGCCGACCUGUUUUACUUCAUGAUCACCCCAGAUACUUCUACAACUAACCCGCUUUGGUAGUACUGCAAAGAACAGUCUCCAGGGUCUACCUCAGCCAUUUGCUUCCGGACUGCCAUGUGCUAUGUUUGGAUCACUGGUACAGUACAUUUGGAUUACCCUAAUACUGUGAAGAACACUUAGUGUGAUUAAAAAAAUAAAUAAAAAAAAACCCCAUUGGCAACAUGUGCGGCCAACCCAGUGCCAUACUUAUUCAUUGUACUGCUACCUCCACUGUUUACAAGAAGCAUACCCUAAAUCAGAUUGUUUUUGCUUUGUUUCAAAAUGUUUGUAAUACAAGUUAAAACUGCACUGAAAAACAAAAAAAAAGACAUUGCCUUUAACUUUGAACUUUCACUACCUUAAAUUUAUGU